RNAcentral lists this ribosomal RNA (837 nucleotides) under uncultured beta proteobacterium. Its description in RNAcentral is "bacterial SSU rRNA". It matches the Rfam family "Bacterial small subunit ribosomal RNA", at positions 60 to 889 of the family's 1533-position model. The record is from RNAcentral. Lineage: Bacteria; Pseudomonadati; Pseudomonadota; Betaproteobacteria.
AGUCGAACGGCAGCACGAGAGCUUGCUCUUGGUGGCGAGUGGCGAACGGGUGAGUAAUAUAUCGGAACGUAUCCAAUAAUGGGGGAUAACUAAUCGAAAGGUUGGCUAAUACCGCAUACGCCCUACGGGGGAAAGCAGGGGAUCUUCGGACCUUGCGUUAAUGGAGCGGCUGAUAUCUGAUUAGCUAGUAGGUGAGGUAAAGGCUCACCUAGGCUUCGAUCAGUAGCUGGUCUGAGAGGACGACCAGCCACACUGGAACUGAGACACGGUCCAGACUCCUACGGGAGGCAGCAGUGGGGAAUUUUGGACAAUGGGGGCAACCCUGAUCCAGCCAUUCCGCGUGAGUGAAGAAGGCCUUCGGGUUGUAAAGCUCUUUCGCAAGGGAAGAAACGUUACGAGCGAAUAACUCGUGAUAAUGACGGUACCUUGAUAAGAAGCACCGGCUAACUACGUGCCAGCAGCCGCGGUAAUACGUAGGGUGCGAGCGUUAAUCGGAAUUACUGGGCGUAAAGCGUGCGCAGGCGGUUUUGUAAGUCAGAUGUGAAAUCCCCGAGCUCAACUUGGGAACUGCGUUUGAAACUACAAGGCUAGAGUAUGGUAGAGGGGGGUAGAAUUCCACGUGUAGCAGUGAAAUGCGUAGAGAUGUGGAGGAAUACCAAUGGCGAAGGCAGCCCCCUGGACUAAUACUGACGCUCAUGCACGAAAGCGUGGGGAGCAAACAGGAUUAGAUACCCUGGUAGUCCACGCCCUAAACGAUGUCUACUAGUUGUUGGGAGAGUAAAAUCUCUUAGUAACGCAGCUAACGCGUGAAGUAGACCGCCUGGGGAGUACGGUCGC